UCAGGACAACGUGUGAGGUGGGAAGGUGUCCUUCUGGCAAAGGUGCUGACGUAGACGUAUCGACGACGCGGGACGGUGUCCCAGUAGCCGAUGUUGUGAGUUGACUGAGGAAGCUUUUAAGGCGGAGUCUGUGCCGUAUGAAAAGUCUUCGGCAACACCUGCGCCCUAAUAGAGAGCAAGCGAAUGAGAGGAUACGCAUGCCAACCAUGCUGAACAGACGGGAGAGGUUACCAUGGAGAUUGUACGAACGAUUCAAUGUCUCUCUCCUCGGGCAAGGCCGUUUGGUUUGUUGUAUAGCAAUACUCAACAUGAUUCCAGCGGCGGUCUGUAAUAUGGCGGCGGUCUAUGCUUAGCGACUAUUGAUCUCUGGAAC
This is a long non-coding RNA of Haliotis rubra (blacklip abalone), 373 nucleotides long. RefSeq lists it as uncharacterized. The transcript has 4 exons. The record is from RefSeq and is a predicted model, not a curated record. Lineage: Eukaryota; Metazoa; Mollusca; Gastropoda; Lepetellida; Haliotidae.